Molecule: ribosomal RNA, 522 nt
Filed under: uncultured bacterium
Lineage: Bacteria
Description: bacterial SSU rRNA
Rfam family: Bacterial small subunit ribosomal RNA
Source: RNAcentral
CCAGAGAACUUAGCAGAGAUGCUUUGGUGCCUUCGGGAACUCUGAGGACAGGUGCUGCAUGGCUGUCGUCAGCUCGUGUUGUGAAAUGUUGGGUUAAGUCCCGCAACGAGCGCAACCCUUAUCCUUUGUUGCCAGCGAUUCGGUCGGGAACUCAAAGGAGACUGCCGGUGAUAAACCGGAGGAAGGUGGGGAUGACGUCAAGUCAUCAUGGCCCUUACGGCCAGGGCUACACACGUGCUACAAUGGCGCAUACAAAGAGAAGCGACCUCGCGAGAGCAAGCGGACCUCAUAAAGUGCGUCGUAGUCCGGAUUGGAGUCUGCAACUCGACUCCAUGAAGUCGGAAUCGCUAGUAAUCGUAGAUCAGAAUGCUACGGUGAAUACGUUCCCGGGCCUUGUACACACCGCCCGUCACACCAUGGGAGUGGGUUGCAAAAGAAGUAGGUAGCUUAACCUUCGGGAGGGCGCUUACCACUUUGUGAUUCAUGACUGGGGUGAAGUCGUAACAAGGUAAGCGUAGUGCU